RNAcentral lists this ribosomal RNA (495 nucleotides) under uncultured bacterium. Its description in RNAcentral is "partial 16S ribosomal RNA". It matches the Rfam family "Bacterial small subunit ribosomal RNA", at positions 28 to 507 of the family's 1533-position model. The record is from RNAcentral.
GAUGAACGCUGGCGGCGUGCUUAACACAUGCAAGUCGAACGAAGCACCUCUCCCGAAGAUUGACACAGCUUGCUGUAGAUUGAUUCAUUUGAGGUGACUGAGUGGCGGACGGGUGAGUAACGCGUGGGUAACCUGCCUCAUAGAGGGGGACAACAGUUGGAAACGACUGCUAAUACCGCAUAGUAAGAAGAAUUCGCAUGUUUUCUUCUUGAAAGAUUUAUCGCUAUGAGAUGGACCCGCGUCUGAUUAGCUAGUUGGUAAGGUAACGGCUUACCAAGGCGACGAUCAGUAGCCGGGUUGAGAGGAUGAACGGCCACAUUGGGACUGAGACACGGCCCAAAAUCCUACGGGAGGCAGCAGUGGGGAAUAUUGCACAAUGGGGGAAACCCUGAUGCAGCGACGCCGCGUGAGUGAAGAAGUAUUUCGGUAUGUAAAGCUCUAUCAGCAGGGAAGAUAAUGACGGUACCUGACUAAGAAGCCCCGGCUAACUACGUG